GACGAACGCUGGCGGCGUGCUUAACACAUGCAAGUCGAGCGGUAAGGCCCUUUCGGGGGUACACGAGCGGCGAACGGGUGAGUAACACGUGGGUGACCUGCCCUCAGCUCUGGGAUAAGCCUGGGAAACCGGGUCUAAUACUGGAUAUGACUCCAUGACGCAUGUUGUGGGGUGGAAAGCCUUGUGCGGCUGAGGAUGGGCCCGCGGCCUAUCAGCUUGUUGGUGGGGNGAUGGCCUACCAAGGCGACGACGGGUAGCCGGCCUGAGAGGGCGACCGGCCACACUGGGACUGAGACACGGCCCAGACUCCUACGGGAGGCAGCAGUGGGGAAUAUUGGACAAUGGGCGAAAGCCUGAUCCAGCAACGCCGCGUGAGGGAUGACGGCCU
RNAcentral lists this ribosomal RNA (388 nucleotides) under uncultured bacterium. RNAcentral describes it as "bacterial SSU rRNA". It matches the Rfam family "Bacterial small subunit ribosomal RNA", at positions 28 to 417 of the family's 1533-position model. The record is from RNAcentral.